UGUGAAUAUGUUUUUUCAGUUUAAAUUCAACAACAAACUUACAAAACAGCAACAACACAAUUCAAUAAACAACAGAAACUAAACCCUAAUAAAGAAUAAAAAGGCAACUAUAUAUAUUUCCAACAACUAGGCACCUAUAGAAGUGUCAUUUUAUCUGCAUCAUAACAUCAAUUUUCAGUUUUAUCUAUUAAUUAUCUUACCGUUAAUAAUCCAUAAUAGAUCCUUGCAUAAUGUGCAUAACAACCACCAGCAGUUAUACAAAUGAAAGAAUCAGUAUCAUCCUUAGAAAUGCAAAGUGGUAAAUUGGGAACCAUGAUAAUGUUAUUCAUAAACAUUUUAAAUCAACAUGUUCUCAAAAAUAUGGAAGACAAGCAAUCAUACUGGUAAAAAUAACAAGUAAACUGGAGGGGAAUAAAAAUGUGAAA
RNAcentral lists this unclassified non-coding RNA (425 nucleotides) under Hevea brasiliensis (rubber tree). The record is from RNAcentral. Lineage: Eukaryota; Viridiplantae; Streptophyta; Magnoliopsida; Malpighiales; Euphorbiaceae.